Vidua chalybeata is the source of this 426-nucleotide long non-coding RNA. RefSeq lists it as uncharacterized. Lineage: Eukaryota; Metazoa; Chordata; Aves; Passeriformes; Viduidae. The transcript has 4 exons. The record is from RefSeq and is a predicted model, not a curated record.
AGGAACAUCACCGGGCUUUGUCCCGGCCGAGACACAGCGGGGAAGGGCUCUGGAUUUCUGCCUCCACCUGUCCCUGAUUCACCCAUGGGUUGUGGAGAAUGAUGUUACUCACCGGAGUUGCCCAAAAAUAACCAUCACCGGUGCAAAGCUCUGCAUGAGUGAUACCAGGAAUACUGAGCCAGCCACGUGUGUUGCUGGGCAUCAGAUGGAAGCCUAGCCUUUUUCUUCAAACCAUCUGCUUUUGUGCAGCCACCUUUGCUUCACAGCUUCUCAGGUUACCAGAGUGAACAUCUGUACAGCCCAUGGUUGGCCCACAUUCUGUCAAAAAAUCUUUAGGGAAGUGACAGACAUCUAUCUGUUCAGAAUGUGGAUACAGAAGAAUUCCUUUGUGUCAACUCAGUACACCUAAUGCUUAGAAAAUGGAGG